GUCUUUUGAGUACAUGAUCCGAACGAAUCGUCAAGUCUACCCACUAACACAUGCUAAGCACUAAAAAUUAUAAGUUCGACUCAUUUUGAUUAACUCUUAUAUCACAAUAAUGGUGGACCCGUGCAUAUACAACAACUACACCAAUGAAAAUCCCCUAAACAUAUAAAAUUUAGUGCUUAGCAUGUGCAGAUAGGCACACACCACACAAACCCAUCUCCGCCCUUGUCCCACAACUAAAAAAUGCACUAACUUGUAUUUAGCUGCAGUACGCCGGGAACAUCAACCCUGCACAGCACCUGUACAUACAGCAGUUUGCGCUGGGUGUGUAUACUAGUGUGUGUCAACUGCCUUGGAAAUUUUAUCAAGUUGGCCCUUGAGUCCACAAUGUAGCAGCCGUGCGUUGGCUGAAAAAUCAGUUUCCGCGUUUUGCUGUAGCCCAUAGUCAUGCUUCCCAGUGAGUUUGUGCUGUUAGAAGAGUAAACAGCCGGGAGUGACA
RNAcentral lists this long non-coding RNA (496 nucleotides) under Daucus carota (carrot). Its description in RNAcentral is "long non-coding RNA (DCAR_LNC007461)". The record is from RNAcentral. Lineage: Eukaryota; Viridiplantae; Streptophyta; Magnoliopsida; Apiales; Apiaceae.